GACGAACGCUGGCGGCGUGCUUAACACAUGCAAGUCGAACGGAAAGGCCCUGCUUUUGUGGGGUGCUCGAGUGGCGAACGGGUGAGUAACACGUGAGUAACCUGCCCUUGACUUUGGGAUAACUUCAGGAAACUGGGGCUAAUACCGGAUAGGAGCUCCUGCUGCAUGGUGGGGGUUGGAAAGUUUCGGCGGUUGGGGAUGGACUCGCGGCUUAUCAGCUUGUUGGUGGGGUAGUGGCUUACCAAGGCUUUGACGGGUAGCCGGCCUGAGAGGGUGACCGGCAACAGUGGGACUGCGAUACGGCCCAGACUCCUACGGGAGGCAGCAGUGGGGAAUAUUGCACAAUGGGCGGAAGCCUGAUGCAGCAACGCCGCGUGCGGGAUGACGGCCUUCGGGUUGUAAACCGCUUUCGCCUGUGACGAAGCGUGAGUGACGGUAAUGGGUAAAGAAGCACCGGCUAACUACGUG
This 468-nucleotide ribosomal RNA is filed under the name uncultured bacterium. RNAcentral's name for it is "partial 16S ribosomal RNA". It matches the Rfam family "Bacterial small subunit ribosomal RNA", at positions 28 to 507 of the family's 1533-position model. The record is from RNAcentral.